UACAGAGGGUGCGAGCGUUAAUCGGAAUUACUGGGCGUAAAGCGCGCGUAGGCGGCUUUGCAAGUCGAGUGUGAAAUCCCCGGGCUUAACCCGGGAACUGCAUUCGAGACUGCAUAGCUAGAGUAUGGGAGAGGGAAGUGGAAUUUCAGGUGUAGCGGUGAAAUGCGUAGAUAUCUGAAGGAACAUCAGUGGCGAAAGCGACUUCCUGGACCAAUACUGACGCUCAUGUGCGAAAGCGUGGGGAGCAAACAGG
This 253-nucleotide ribosomal RNA is filed under the name uncultured bacterium. RNAcentral's name for it is "partial 16S ribosomal RNA". It matches the Rfam family "Bacterial small subunit ribosomal RNA", at positions 524 to 776 of the family's 1533-position model. The record is from RNAcentral.